UACGUAGGGUGCGAGCGUUAAUCGGAAUUACUGGGCGUAAAGCGCACGUAGGCGGAUUUGUAAGUCAGGGGUGAAAUCCCGGGGCUCAACCUCGGAACUGCCUUUGAUACUGCAAGUCUUGAGUCCGAUAGAGGUGAGUGGAAUUCCUAGUGUAGAGGUGAAAUUCGUAGAUAUUAGGAAGAACACCAGUGGCGAAGGCGGCUCACUGGAUCGGUACUGACGCUGAGGUGCGAAAGCGUGGGGAGCAAACAGG
Molecule: ribosomal RNA, 253 nt
Filed under: uncultured bacterium
Lineage: Bacteria
Description: partial 16S ribosomal RNA
Rfam family: Bacterial small subunit ribosomal RNA
Source: RNAcentral